Molecule: ribosomal RNA, 466 nt
Filed under: uncultured bacterium
Lineage: Bacteria
Description: partial 16S ribosomal RNA
Rfam family: Bacterial small subunit ribosomal RNA
Source: RNAcentral
GACGAACGCUGGCGGCGCGCCUAACACAUGCAAGUCGAACGAGCGAGAGGAGGUUUACUUUCUCCAGCGAGUGGCGAACGGGUGAGUAACGCGUGAGGAACCUGCCUCAAAGAGGGGGACAACAGUUGGAAACGACUGCUAAUACCGCAUAAGCCCACGACCCGGCAUCGGGUAGAGGGAAAAGGAGCAAUUCGCUUUGAGAUGGCCUCGCGUCCGAUUAGCUAGUUGGUGAGGUAAUGGCCCACCAAGGCGACGAUCGGUAGCCGGACUGAGAGGUUGAACGGCCACAUUGGGACUGAGACACGGCCCAGACUCCUACGGGAGGCAGCAGUGGGGAAUAUUGCACAAUGGGGGAAACCCUGAUGCAGCGACGCCGCGUGGAGGAAGAAGGUCUUCGGAUUGUAAACUCCUGUUGUUGAGGAAGAUAAUGACGGUACUCAACAAGGAAGUGACGGCUAACUACGUG